GCUCCUGUAGUUCAACGGAUAGAACGGAGGUUUCCUAAACCUUAAAUCUGGGUUCGAUUCCCGGCAGGAGCACCA
This 75-nucleotide transfer RNA is filed under the name Verrucomicrobiota bacterium. RNAcentral's name for it is "Verrucomicrobia bacterium tRNA-Arg". It matches the Rfam family "tRNA". Rfam says of the family: Transfer RNA (tRNA) molecules are approximately 80 nucleotides in length. Their secondary structure includes four short double-helical elements and three loops (D, anti-codon, and T loops). The record is from RNAcentral. Lineage: Bacteria; Pseudomonadati; Verrucomicrobiota.